CCGAUAGCAAGGUGUUGAGCGAAACUGUGGCAGAUUCUCCUACCUCUGUGCUCGAGGACGAGAGAUAGCUAAAGAAAAGAAUCUUGAGGAAGAGUGGCUGAUAGAAGAGGAGGAUACAGCAGAUGAGCCGAAGGAAGAAACUUGCUUGAGUGACAUCCAGUUCGGUAAACUUGAUGAACUUUUAACACAGACUCAACUUUUCUCUGAGUUUCUGCUGGAAUAGAUGGAUGAUAUUACGAAGGUUUCUUUCAAUGUUGGUUCAUGAAGUGAUUUGGAAUGAUAUAGUAGUUAAUAUAAUCUGUUUUUAUUCUCCUCGAGUCGGUCAGAGGAUGACACCAAACCCACUACAGGAGACAAGAAAGUUUGAGGUUCCAAACAAAAGGCCACUUCAAGUUAUAGUGACACGUAGCUGCUAAAAAUCAAGGAUAGCUCGUUCUUGACUUAGAAGACACCUCAGCUGGUGGCACACCAGGGAAUCCGGGGAGCGGUGGUUCGGGAAAAGAAGGAAGGGGGAUAGGAGAAGAUGGAGUUGAGCCAGGAACAGGUGGAAGCUGGAACGAAGGCGGCGGAGAAGAAGGCAAAGGAAAAGUAGAAGGAAUGCCAGGUUUUGGAGUUUGAGGUAAUGGAAAUUCCAUUGGCUUCUGAAUUGUAUUCUCGGAUGAUUGUGAUGCAGGCGGCAGAAAUGGGUAUCCAGGCAGAGGUGGAAGCCUUGGCAAUGGCGGCAGAGGCGGCAGACGUGGCAGCGGUGGGAGGUACCCGCCGCCCAAGGCUGGUGGAUCAGAGGGUGGAUCUUGAAGUGGUGGCGGGAACGAGAGAUCAUCGGGGCUCGAAACUAGGGGUGAGUUCAGUAUAUUGACAUUGAUGCUCGGUUUCUGAUCGCACAGCUGUGGCUGUUUCAACGGCUUAAAAGUGAAGAACCCUGCCGAAAAAAUGUGCUUCCCGUCCUUUCUUGAUUUGAGGUGGAGAUUCGACGAGGCUGCAGUGGCGGCCACGGCGCAGUAGGGAUGAUUGCUCCUGACGAGCUUCACCGAGCAGCCCUUGAUUCUCUUGAAAUGUUUGCCGAUAAAUGGCGGGAGAUGGACUUUGAACUCUCCCUGCUUGUCGGUCUUCACUUCCUGUCGAAACCCCAGCCUCGUCUCCCUGCAUUCCACUGCAACAGUUGCACCUGCGCGCAGACGCCGGUGUGCAGGUAAGAGGAAGGAGGAAACCCCAUUUUUAUACAGGGAAAAGAAGAAGAGCACAUAAUGGGAGUCAUGGAGAGACAGGUAAACUGCUAACUGGCAAGUAGUUAAUUUCUUGGUAAAAAGGUGGAUCAAAAUUCGGACAAAGUUCAAUUCUUUAAUGCAGUCAGGUUACCAUAGCGGUGGGUUGUGCCAUAGUUAUUGUUCUAGUUUUGUUCUCAAGUCUAUUAUUUGUCUUUGUUUUGCUUGUGCGUUGCAGUUCUUGGAGAUUAAUAUUAUAUAUAUGUAUAUAUAUUUAAUGAAAAUAGGUUUUGAUUGUUAUGAUUUUAAGGUUUAAUAUGUUAGAUAUGAUCUGUUAAUUACGGGGUGGGGUAUUAGGUGUCCCCCGUAAGGGGUUUUCUUGUGGGCGUAGACUUGUAAACUCGAGGUCAUGAGUUCAAAUCCGCCACGGCUGAUGUAAGGUAGUAGUCAU
Molecule: long non-coding RNA, 1653 nt
Organism: Andrographis paniculata
Lineage: Eukaryota; Viridiplantae; Streptophyta; Magnoliopsida; Lamiales; Acanthaceae
Exons: 4
Source: RefSeq, a predicted model, not a curated record